RNAcentral lists this ribosomal RNA (494 nucleotides) under uncultured bacterium. RNAcentral describes it as "partial 16S ribosomal RNA". It matches the Rfam family "Bacterial small subunit ribosomal RNA", at positions 28 to 507 of the family's 1533-position model. The record is from RNAcentral.
GACGAACGCUGGCGGCGUGCUUAACACAUGCGAGUCGAACGGAAAGGCCUGCUUUCCCUUGUGGAUUGCGGGUACUCGAGUGGCGAACGGGUGAGUAACACGUGAGUGAUCUGCCCCCAACUUGGGUAUAAGCCUGGGAAACUGGGUCUAAUUCCCGAUAGGACUGCAGGGUGGUGCCUGUGGUGGAAAACGAUUUUCUAGUGGUUGGGGAUGAGCUCGCGGCCUAUCAGCUUGUUGGUGGGGUAAUGGCCUACCAAGGCGGCGACGGGUAGCCGGCCUGAGAGGGUGGACGGCCACAUUGGGACUGAGAUACGGCCCAGACUCCUACGGGAGGCAGCAGUGGGGAAUAUUGCACAAUGGGCGGAAGCCUGAUGCAGCGACGCCGCGGGGGGGAUGACGGCCUUCGGGUUGUAAACUCCUUUCGACCGCGAGGAAGCCACCUGGUUGGAAGGGUGGUGACGGUAGUGGUAGAAGAAGCACCGGCUAACUACGUG